Molecule: transfer RNA, 71 nt
Filed under: Caudoviricetes sp.
Lineage: Duplodnaviria; Heunggongvirae; Uroviricota; Caudoviricetes
Also listed under: 1 other name
Description: tRNA-Ile
Rfam family: tRNA
About the family: Transfer RNA (tRNA) molecules are approximately 80 nucleotides in length. Their secondary structure includes four short double-helical elements and three loops (D, anti-codon, and T loops).
Source: RNAcentral
UCUCAUGUAGCUCAGUGGUAGAGCCGCUACUAUGUAGUGUGAUUGCGUUGGUUCGAGUCCAACCAUGGGAU